Molecule: long non-coding RNA, 3615 nt
Organism: Scylla paramamosain (green mud crab)
Lineage: Eukaryota; Metazoa; Arthropoda; Malacostraca; Decapoda; Portunidae
Exons: 2
Source: RefSeq, a predicted model, not a curated record
AGUGUGCCGAGUGGCGGCGUACCCGCGUGUUGAUUCUGUGCUUUCUCUAACGUUAUUUGUGGUGAAGGAGGACUAAGAGUGGCGAGGCUCUACCCUAAGGUUGCUAACAGCGGUCCAGCAUGUGUGGUAAAUGUAGCCGCGUGUUUUCGUCGUCUCGUAAGUAAAUCAUUAAAAGUUCCGUUCCCUCUUGCUGCAUCAUGUUACUUUCAUGUAUCGGCGGUUCAACGUGGGAGCGUUGUAAAAGGCACUGGUACAAGGCUUUCAUGCCCAGUUUUAGUGUGUACCGGGAGGAAUGGCUGCCACAGUACUGGAAAUAAUGUGCUUAAAAUGUGCUAUACAUCGUGUGUAUUGGUUUAGAUUUGUUUGACUCAGAUUGGAAUAUUGUCAAAGUCUAUCCUCACCGAUGUUUUUAAGCUGGUCUGUUAGAUGAAAAUAGGUAUCACGUAUGAAAGAAGGAUGGAUGUUACCGCAGUGCUGAGGUUGAUCACAGGAUAGAAAGCUUUUACUCUGCCGUAAGAGAAUGAAAAAUUACAGAGCUUACUUUAAACUGUGUGAAAGAAAGGGUUAUUCAGAAUUUAUGCGUUGCCGAAAGUCACACUGAAAUGGGUAACGCUGAGUGCACAAAAACAGCAAAAAGAAAAAAAAAAAAAAAAAAAGAAAAAAAAAGUGAUUGACACUGUCUUAAGUGUCUACGUUUGUGUGUGUGCGUGUGUGUGCGUGCGUACUUGCAUGCGUGUACAGGCACUUAGUGGACAGCAAAAGAUUGUCGGGGGCGUAUAUCCGUUUGAAACAAGAUAUACAGGGCAUUAACUCGGGCAGCAGUCACGCGAGGGGACGGUGAAGUGGCAGCAGCACCUGGGAAACGCUCAGGUGUUCCCACUAAGUUUGCUAGAAGUAUUGUGUGGACGUGGUCGUGGUCACUUUAAUACUGACACUUUCCUGUUAGUGGAGUGCAGUCUUUCUUGAACUGCCAGACACACUGAGAAUCCACUUGAGACACACACACACACACACACACACACACACACACACACACACACACACACACACACACACACACACACACACACACACACACACACACACACACACACACCUUGAUUACUUUGACAUAAGUUCCUCACACAGUCCCCCUCCACCCCCGUACCCUUGCACCCCAGCGGCUUUCAUCGCUUGUGAUGGGCAACCGUUUAGGAGGAAUGUCUUUGAUUAGCGGCGGCCUUAGGGAGGGGAGGGCGGAAGGCCGGGGACGGGGCAGGAGGAACGGGAGGGGCCACUCAAGAUGGUAUUGUGGAGAAGAAUGCUUUGAUAAGGAGGCGGUGACGGCUGCUUUAUUAUUAGUGAAUAGAAUGGGCGAGAGAGCCAGUGAAUGUACGGGAUGCAUUAUAAAAAAUCGUCCCUGUGCAGAAGAGAAGCGGAGAGUCCAAUUAGAGUGCGGGUCGUGGUAGCUCUGCUGGAGAAAAGAGGGACUCGAUUUAAGGGAGUGAAUUAUUUCCAGCCCUAAGCCUUCCACCGCUGCUAAAAAUACUCCCCCGAGCCACUUGUCGACCCCGGUCACGGUGGAACACUUGUUGUGGUGAGCCACGGCCCGCACGCGACUCCGCCACGCCAUUGCUACCACCACCACCACCACCACCACCACCACUACUACUACUACUACUACUACUACUACUACUACCAGCAUUACUACCACCACUACCACUGCUUUCACUGCCACCAGUAUAUCCACCACUUACUGCCAACGUCACUAUCACCCUCACCACGCCAGUGCUACCCCUGUCACCUUUAUUAACACUACUGCCACCACCACCACUACCAACAUUACUACCACUAGUAGAUCCGCGCCAUUACUACCAUCACUACUACCACAACUACCACUACCACUACCAUCAGUACAUCCACCACAGUCACUACGAACAUUGUUACCACUACGACCACUACCAACAUUGCUACCAUCAGUACACCCACCACUGUCACCACCACCAACAUUGCCACUAGCGCUAUCACCACCACUAUCGCUGGAGCCCACCAUCGCCAUCACCAUAAUCACCUAACCUAACCUAACCUAACGUAACCUAAUCUCAUCUUACAGUCACCACCACCACCACCACCACCACCACUGGCAUUAAUCAAAACAGCAGUGAUGCAUACAUAAUAAUACCGUCUCCUCCUCCUCCUCCUCUUCCGUCACCAGCGCCAGCAUUACCGCACAAUCUAAUCACCGUCAACAAGUGCUCGCCUCCAAUAAGUCAAACACAAAUCCCUUGAACUCUGGCGGCAUUGUUUUGACUCGCCCAUCUGUCCGAAUUGCGAGGAGGUGACGAGGGGGAGAGGGAGGGGCGAAGAUGAUGGAAGGAAGGAGAACGGAGAGGAAGGGAGAAAGGGAGAGAUGGAAGGAAGGAGACAGAUAAAUACAAGUGAAGGGAGAGAGGGACGAAGAAGAUUGAAGGAAGACGGAGAAGAGGAGGAAAUGACAAAUUUUGAUAGAUUAAGAAAUGAAAAGGGAAGGUUAAACUGAUAAGAAUGACGGGAGAAGAGAGAGAGAGAGAGAGAGAGUGUCAGCUGGCCCUGGAGGCGGUAUUGUGAUUGGAGAGCAGAUUAGGUAACAACGUGUCCCAGGAUUAGAUCUGUUUGAGUUUAGUCCCGGUGUUAUUGCUAGCGCAGAUGAGGCUGAGAGAGGGGAGGGAGAGAGGAAUAGGCAAGGGUUGAGGAGCGUGGAGCAUUACAGCCUGGGGAAAGGAGAGGAAAGGGGGAAAUUGAAGCCUUGGGGAGAGGGCAAGGGAAGGGUUCAAGAGGCCAAAGGGUAAAAUGAGGAAUUAGGGUCCGUCCGAGGAAUGAAAGGUAAGGAAGAGAGAGCUUAGGGAUGGUCAGGGAGUUUAGUGACGAUCUAAGCAAAAAUGGGGCAAUUUAGAUAGGGUGGAGGAGGAAGCUACCACCGAUUCUGGUCGAUAGGGAAGGCAGGGAGGCAGGGGACACUUGACAGCUUGCGUAAAGGGGGCCGAGGGAUGUGCUGGGGAGGGUUCCUAUGUUAGAGGGGACUGGGGUGUGAUUCAUGUUGGUAGUAGUGGCGGGAAUCCAAGGCGAAAUCGUGUUAGUGACGGUGAAAAUCUGUUUUUGACGGCUUGAUUCUGUUAGUGGCGAUUGGUUUUGGGUUACCGUAGAGGUGUUGGGUCGUGGCCGCGAUGGCGAUAGUGCUGACGGCGGCGGAGGCGGCGGCGGCAGCGGGGGCGAUGAUAGGGCGUGUGUUAGGCUUGUGAAGAAGGGUGAGUGUAGUAAGAGUUUGAGAUGAAGGUGAAUAAUAGUAAUAGUAAGUGUAGGGAUGACAAGAGUGUAUUGGUUUUGCUGAAGUGGCAUGACGGUGAAUAUUGAUGAUUGUUGUGAUGUGAAGAUGUGUGAAUGUUGAAUGCAGCAAGAAAGAUGGUGAAGGAGGAUCAUCAUAGUGUACGUGCUGGUGACAUGAUGUAUUGGUGAAUAUAUAGUGUACGUAGUGGUGACGGUGGUGUAUUGGUGAAGAUAAUGUAGGGGUGUGACCAAGAGUAAUGAUGAUUGUCGAGAGGUCUUUCGUUACUGACAGGAGUUUGCGCCUUAGACAAAUAUCUUCCAUUUUUUUCUUUU